AAUGCCGGAUGCUCCGACAUGACGCAUGUCGUGUCGGGAAAGAUUCAUCGGUAUGGGAUGGGGUCGCGUCCUAUCAGCUUGAUGGCGGGGUAACGGCCCACCAUGGCUUCGACGGGUAGCCGGCCUGAGAGGGCGACCGGCCACAUUGGGACUGAGAUACGGCCCAGACUCCUACGGGAGGCAGCAGUGGGGAAUAUUGCACAAUGGGCGCAAGCCUGAUGCAGCGACGCCGCGUGCGGGAUGACGGCCUUCGGGUUGUAAACCGCUUUUGACUGGGAGCAAGCCCUUCGGGGUGAGUGUACCUUUCGAAUAAGCACCGGCUAACUACGUGCCAGCAGCCGCGGUAAUACGUAGGGUGCAAGCGUUAUCCGGAAUUAUUGGGCGUAAAGGGCUCGUAGGCGGUUCGUCGCGUCCGGUGUGAAAGUCCAUCGCUUAACGGUGGAUCCGCGCCGGGUACGGGCGGGCUUGAGUGCGGUAGGGGAGACUGGAAUUCCCGGUGUAACGGUGGAAUGUGUAGAUAUCGGAA
RNAcentral lists this ribosomal RNA (526 nucleotides) under Bifidobacterium adolescentis JCM 15918. RNAcentral's name for it is "bacterial SSU rRNA". It matches the Rfam family "Bacterial small subunit ribosomal RNA", at positions 165 to 702 of the family's 1533-position model. Lineage: Bacteria; Bacillati; Actinomycetota; Actinomycetes; Bifidobacteriales; Bifidobacteriaceae. The record is from RNAcentral.